UUGGUGGCAUCAUUAAAUAGAGAAAGAUUUAUCGGAUCANGACGGGCCCGCGUCUGAUUAUCUACUUGGCGGGGAAACGGCCCUGCAAGGAAAUGAUCAUUAGCCGACCUGAAAGGGAGACCGGCCACACUGUACCUGAGACACGGUCCAGACUCCUACGGGAGGCAUGGGUGGGGAAUAUUGCACAAUGGGCCCAGGCCUGAUGCAACGACGCCGCGUGAGCGAUGAAUGCCUUCGGGUCGGAAAGCUCUGUCCUAUGGGAAGAAGAAGUGACGGUACCCUANGAGGAANCCCC
RNAcentral lists this ribosomal RNA (295 nucleotides) under uncultured bacterium. RNAcentral describes it as "partial 16S ribosomal RNA". It matches the Rfam family "Bacterial small subunit ribosomal RNA", at positions 182 to 494 of the family's 1533-position model. The record is from RNAcentral.